AUCCCUGCAUAGUGCGUGUAGACCAGAAUUUUAGAACCUACAAGUUUUGGAUAAGGGAGCCCACCUCUAAAUGUGGCGUGUAUGCUUAUAUUUAUAUAAGAAACCCACAAGCAUUUAGGUAAGCACCCACCUGUGUGAGUACAGGUCCUAUAAAAUCUCUAGUAAUUACGGCUAAGGCGGGGCAU
RNAcentral lists this non-coding RNA (185 nucleotides) under human gut metagenome. RNAcentral's name for it is "6S / SsrS RNA". It matches the Rfam family "6S / SsrS RNA". Rfam says of the family: E. coli 6S RNA was the first non coding RNA to be sequenced, but its function was unknown until recently. It consists of 184 nucleotides that fold into an extended hairpin structure with a large single-stranded internal bulge. The record is from RNAcentral.